This 249-nucleotide long non-coding RNA is filed under the name Hordeum vulgare. Its description in RNAcentral is "long non-coding RNA (HVUL_LNC010793)". Lineage: Eukaryota; Viridiplantae; Streptophyta; Magnoliopsida; Poales; Poaceae. The record is from RNAcentral.
GGCUUAGGAUUGUCUCCUGACACUCAAUGAGCUUCUCUGAUGCUGUCGAGAUCUACAGCUGCUGUGUGAACAAGGGGAUUAAAUGUUAACUAUAGAAAGUUAUUUACUGGUAAACUGUCCAAAUGAAGGUAAUAACUCAUGGACUAAAGAUCCCUCCAAAGCAGGGUGUACUCAAGGAACCAGCAAAUUGAUUGAAUGGAUCUGAAAACAUGUUCAAUUCUUUCCAGUGGUUUCACAACAAGGGCAGUC